This is a long non-coding RNA of Neofelis nebulosa (Clouded leopard), 6854 nucleotides long. RefSeq lists it as uncharacterized. Lineage: Eukaryota; Metazoa; Chordata; Mammalia; Carnivora; Felidae. The record is from RefSeq and is a predicted model, not a curated record. The transcript has 3 exons.
UUCCCUUCCCUUCCCUUCCCUUCCCUUCCUUUCCCUUCCCUGCAAUCCUUUUCUGGAAGACAAUAUUCUGAAGGUGGGCCAAUUCACAUCAUUUUCUUUUCAUCAGUGUAUUUUGCAUUCUUCUCAACUGGUGUCUUUGAGGCAGGUGUCAGGAGUUGCCUUGUGAACUGUUGAAAUUUCCAGUAGGUCAUGGUAUAGUGUGAAUGACACCAUGUCCAAGAAAGAUGUCUCUAUGGCAAUGUCAUGGCCCCAGCCUUGAUUGAAAAUUCAGGGCUCUUUGGAGAAACCAGACAAGUCAGGAACCCCUGCUUCAUCCUUAUGUGCUUAAUUGUGAUGGGCUGGUCAGGCUUGGUUUUGUACAUUGAAAAGAAAUACGCUUAUGCAGUCCCAAUCACAGGAGCUUGAGCCUGGGAGGGCACUUAGUGCAUCUCAUGUGGGCUUUUUUAUAUUUAUGUGAUGUAUUGAUGAGUAGGAAUAGAGAGCUGUGAAGAGAAGCUCAGAGUUUCCAAAGACUUGCCAGCAUGCUGGAGUUUGAGUUUGUUUAGUCCCUUAAUGGGGGGGCAUCAAUGCUUCCCCCGGUUGUGUUUGUGGAUCUGUACAUUUAUGGGGAAAGGGAGAGGGGACAUUUGAGUCCUGCCUUCAGAUUUGGGGGAGAGAAGAAAGGCAGAAUUUCACAUGGGCUACCAGGUAAUCUAUGUUUCUUUCCCCUCGUAGGAAGCUGGGAUUGAAAGAGCGGGAGCAGGUGGAAGGGGAGAAGCAGCUGUCAGCUGCAGAGGAGAAACUGAAAUUAGCUGCAGAAGAGCUAUGGAACUACAAGUGAGUUCAGCUCCUACCAGCAGCUCACACACGUCCAUUGGAUUAUCUUGAAACUUUGUACAGGGUUUAGACCCAAGUAGCACACAAAUAUAUACAAAUAUUCAGGAGACAUUUAUUUUUAUAGAGACUUCAAGAAGAAUGUGACAUUUUCCAGAUGUUAAAUUAAAAAUAUUAUUCUAAACCAGUUAAGCCACUAAAGAUUUCCUGAUCCCCAUUGUUGGCCAGACUGUGUGGAAAUGUGGUUCCCGCACACGUUUCUGGAGGUGCUGGAAAUUAUCACAAACCUCAGGAAGCAGUUUGGUGGAGGACGAAUCACAUGGACAAGUAUGACCAUCCCAUUUUAGAGACCCACUUGUAGUAGCUGUGAGAAAUUGGUAAGGAUAUAAGGGAAAGAAGACUUGAAUUUUAUGAUGAAAGAUACUCAUUGCAGGAUUAGGGAGCUGUCGCCACUGGUAAGAAGACCAUGUCAACGCAGAACCCCACAGGCAUUAAAUAAUAAAUCCAAGAUGAUGUAGCAAUGGCUUUGAGUUUUCUGUACUCUUCCUCCUCAUGUGAAAUGUGUCUUAUAUGAUUGGAUCGUGUGUAUGAGAGUUCAGUUCUUAUAAUGGGAACCUGGGCCAAUUAACAUCACCCUCAACAUGGUGCUUCAUCUGAUGAAAGCAAUGGCACUCCCAGGAGAAGAGUAGAAGAAACACAAGAACAGCUGCAGCAGUCAGAGCUCACCUUCGGACACCAGGUAGCCUGCACGCUGCCCAGUAGUUCCUGAGUCCUCCAGCACCUAAUGCAGAUGAUCAUAACGGGACACUGAAUCCCUCCACAUGGGUUUUUAUUGAUGUGCUGACUCUUUCAGAUUGCUCUUUGUGAGAAAGUGUCUCAGGACAACUGGGUAAGAAUGUUUUUCUCUCCUCCUCUUGUGUGUACUCUGCCACAGCUGAACGUGGAUGUGUUUCUCCCCGCUCAGGGCUUGUGAGCUGGAGAAGGUGAUGGCAGAGCAGAGCAGGGAGGUCGCCUACUUGAAAUGCAGACUGGAAGUCAUCCACAAACAGAGGCUUCCAGAGGAAUCCAGGAGGCACAAACCAAUGGCAGCAGGACCUGACAGAGAGAUACCUCCAUGGAGAGGUAAGGAGCACGUUGUGAAAUGCAGUAGCUUAACUUCUGGGGCAACAUCCACACAAUCGGUUUCUUGUUCCAGUGGGUAUAAUUGUUUGGUCUCCUGCAAACAGUCCCAAGUGGUUACUAGAGGGCACAGGUUGUCUCACAGUGAUGACAGGACACUGUUUCCCUCAGAUGCCCCCAGUCAGCAGGGCUCUUUGGGUCUGUCCUUUGUGAGUGGUGGAGCUCACGCCCCUCCACCGACUGUGGGCCCCUCUGCAACCUCCCAGUUACACUUAACUGGAGAGUGGGUGCUAGAACGGAUGUGGGUCAUCCCCCCCUUCCACCUUGAGGCAAUGUUGAAGGCUUUUUCUUUUGUUUCACAUGAAUAACAUGAACAACAUGAACAACAGCAAGAAUUGUAGGCUGUAUAUCCUGAUGAGCUUCCUUUAUUUGGCUUUUGGAUAAAUACUCCAUAGAAAACAUGCUUUCUAUAAGAAAGCAGACAUUUGUUUUCUCUGUUUGGAGUCCCUUAAUUCUUUAAAGUUUUUUGUGUGUAUUGUGAACUAUAGUACCCUAUUAGUAAAGUAAAUCCUUGUGAAAUUUCACUCCUCUAAUGUUAUUUUAUUAGUGUAACUCUAAAACUUUGCAGGUCGUUCCACAUGGAAUUAACCUUUUCUUUCCUCAUUAGUAUAGUAUUAGUCUCGUCAAGGCAAUUUCUGUUCAUGAAUACUUACAUAAUCCCUUGUCAGAUACAUAAGGCAAAUGAUAUAUACAGUAAAACAUUUGAAAAAUCCCACCCAUGCCUUGUAGAAAAGGACAGGUUGCUGUUCAUGCUGACGGUUUACUGACAUUAUCCUAAACCAUUCUUUUAAUUUUUAAUCUGUGAUAAAUUGUCAUUUCCCAUGAUGUGUAUUAGGAAACCCUUAUUUUAGUGUUGAUUUCCAAUGAAUUGAGCCCUGAGCUGUCCAUAGUUGGUUGAUUAUCAAGUAUCCAACCAAGGCCUUCUGGUGCCUUCCUCAAGGCUCCCCUGAGUCCCAAGGGGUCACCUGUGCCUUGUGGGAAACCCUCUGUCUCUGGUAAGGGACCUGAUUAUAGGAAGCAGUGUAAGAUGGUGGAGGAAGGCAUGGAGGGUUUUUUUUUCCGUCCAGUCUAUGCAAGUCAGAAUAAACCUCCACCCCUUCUUUGGCCUCUAUCAAAUGUAGAACCUGGUGCAGCUUCUGUGAAGAACAAGAAUUCUGUCCUUACUAUGGACACAGAGAAGGUCAAAGUAAACGUUGUCACAUUUUCAGUUGUAAUUCUUUCUCUGGAAUCUUUUAACUCUUUAUACAGCACUCUCUCCGGGUCUUGUCUCUAGUUUGUGUAUUUUGAGAUAUUUCUAUGGUGUUAUUUACUUUACAAAGAGUAAAACUCUUUCCCAAGAGCCUAAGGGCCUCUCUGUUCUUAGCUUGUCAUCUUUGGUGGUGCCUCCAGAAGCCAUAAGUGCUUAGAGGCUGAGGACCACAGGGCAGUCACUGUGUGUGUGUGGAAAUAACAUGAGGAGGAUGACUCCUCACUCUACCCUUAUGUCUCCUGGCCUGGCUCACUUCUUCCAGACCUCCUUUCAUGGGAAUGUACCUGGAAACUGAAACAGAAUUAUUGUUGUUAUUUUACUCCUUUUCUGUCCAGAGUUAGUCAUUAACCUGUUUAGAACAUCGAUUGUAAUCUUCACUAACUGAAAAACAUGAGAAGCCCAACUUUCUGAGGAGUGCUUAGCCAUCUUGAAUGUUCUUAUUCAAAGUUCAUCUUUUUUUAACUUUAAUAAUUCAUCAGUUGUCCCAUCUCUUUUUGAAACGUGCUUUUGUAGAGUCACUGCAGCUGUUUAAGCAGUCAAAAUAUUAUGAAUUAUCAGGAAAGACAUAUUUGCAGUAGAAAAAGUACACUGGAACUGAAGGAAUAGAGAGUGAAAGUCAGGUCUGAUGUGCCAGUUUCUGGAAAAGAGCUGAUGCCAUGUUCAUGUAACCAGGUUCUUUUAUGGCCUGUGCAGCUGUCAUAGCUGGCAUCUUCUCUUCAUACCUUAUCUGUAUUUUCCACCUUGAUAUCAGAACAUAUUCAUUUUAAUUGUCAUUUCAAAUUCCAAACAUAUUUUUCCAUGGGACAAAAUUAGCCUGUAUGUCAUAGUGUACGUAAACUUUGUCAUUACCUGUGAAUUCACAUAUAUCUAUAACUUUUCUUAACUAACUCCUGUAUUGUUCAUGCAGAAAACACUUUCCCAAUUCCCCUGAGGGCUCUAGGAUGCCAUCUCCCCAUAGAUCUUUGUGCCUUAGGACAGCAGGUCCAAAGACGCAGCCAGGUGAGCAGAGGCUGCCAGCAGGACCUUGCAGGCAGAGCUGGUAUCAACUCCUGCUUCACAUUUUGCAAGCCUUUUGACCCUCAUUCCUCUUAGAACCUGUUUGCUUACAUUUAGAGCAGGUGGCCAUACUUACCUUGCAGAGUUCUGAGAAUCAGAGCUCGGACAUGAAAGGCCUGUAGAAGGUUCUCUCAUGAGUCACUGGGGUUAAACCACUCACAAGAAUUAACUGGAGAUGGAUUAAAGAUUUAAAUGAAUGAUAUGAAAUCAUAAUUCCCCUUACUUAUUUCUGCUCUUAAUAUGCCAAAAUGGAACUAUUGAGGUGGUGAAAGGCUGAGCAGAGAGUAGUCCUGGAAAUAGAUGCCUGUGUGUGUAGAACAAACUUGCUUUAAUACUCCAGAAUUAUCUCUCUGAUCCUCUACGGCCGGCCACUUCCUUCCUACAUUUGGAGGCACAGCCAGUACCAUGCAUGCUGCCAGAAAUUUACUGUCUUGGCUCCUCAAACUCCUAGAAGCUCUAGGAGGGACACAGUGGGAAGGGUGGGGUUUUGUGGCACUAAUCCUGCCUUAUUGAAACCAGGAGGAAGGGAAGGAGAUAGGCACUGUUUCUGCUUCAUUGGGGUUCAGCUAUGUUGGUGUCAGUGUUGGAUUUUUCACCUUUUACACUAACAUAUCUCAAAAGUUUAAUUCCUGUCCAGCAGAUCAAUGUGGCUUCAAGAAAAUUUCAUUUCCCAGAGGUGCCCUCCAUUCUGUACCCCAUGGGCUGCACUUUAUCUCCAUUCAUAGCCACCCACCCCUUCUGCACCCUGGUGGCCUCUGGGACCUUACCCUCCACCUCCACCUCCACCAUUUGGUAAGAUGAUAUGAAUAGUAGAAGUUGACUUAUAAAACAUUUUUCAUCUUUUUUCUUGUUGAGUAUUUUGUAGAAGAUGCAGUGAUGGCACCACAGGUCUUUCAGGUCAGCUGGACUGAGGACAUUGUAACAUUCUCUAAGUUUCUCAGGACAUGCAUGAAAUGGGCUGUCAUUUCCACAUAGUGAGCUGGGAAGCACAUGUCUCUUAUACAGAAGAAACAGGCCUUGUUUAGCUGACAUACAUACCACUUCUUAUGAUGUAGCUUGUAUAGAGACCAUGUGUUGGGCUCACUGAGGGAUGAGACAUACCCCUAACUUUAUUUCUAGCUAGUUGAGAUCUGUUGCUUGAUCAGUUAUGAAAACACCUGAACCAGGGUCCUGUGGAAACGUCCUCAAGGGACAGGGUCAGAUCUUUUCUCUUGACUAUAAUAUUAGUCUAAGUACAUUUUUAUUUGAAAUUAGUUAUGUGAUACCUACUCACAUAUGGAAGGCAGCCUAUAUAUAAGCUGAAAGAUUGAACAAUUCACCUGGAGCCAGAAGAAACACAUUCAUGCUCUUUUGUUGAGGAUUUAUUGAUGUUAUCUACCAAUUGACACUCUCAUUUUAAUUUUUAUCUGUAAUGAGAUGGUAAGUUAUUGCCCCUAAUGUAUAUUGAGAAAUGGUUGUUUUGGUGACGAUUUCCAGAUUUGUAUUUGAGCUGACCUGUCGAUAAUUAUUUCACUAGUUAUGAAGGACAUGAACCAGGGCCCUAUGAUUUCUUGAUUAAAAUGAUGGGGUGGGUCUCCCCCUUAUCGUUGGGGUCACCUGAGGCUUGUGGGAUAUUCUCUGCCUUUCCUUAUGGUCCUGAGUGUGGAGAAAAGUUUAAGAUGUCACAAAAUGUGGUGUUUGUUUGAAUUCUGCAGUGUCUACCGAAAUUUAAAAAAAACCUCCACUCCUUCCAGAGCCUUUAGCCAAUCCAGAAGCUGGUGUCGCUCCCAUAAGUCACAACAAGCACUUUACCAAAAAUGCUGAAAAGGACAAGGGCAGUGUGGAUCCAUGGGGACCUCCUCUGUUAACUGGAAGAUUCUGCACACCCUACCCUAGAGGUCCCCCCAUGGGCUAUAGGGCAUGUCCACCUCCUGAACCUUGGUGGCCCUGGGGACCACCCCGGACCUCUCUACCUACACCGCGUGGUAAGAUGAUCUGAGCAGUAUGAGUUGACUUGCAAAGCACCUUCAUCUAAUUUUUGUUGUUGUUGAGUCUUGGACAAGGUGCAGAGGUGGUACCACAGACCAUUGCAAUGCGAGGGAAAAACGUUUGCCGCCAUAACCACAUUCCUUGAGGUUCUCUUGAUCGACAUAUCAUCUUUGUGUCAUUUCCCACACCCUGUGUUGGUACAGGUGUCUCUUGUGGAGAUGGAAUGGGGCUGUAGACACAAAAGCAGACAUAGGGCUUCAGCAGAUGUGUGCUGUACACAGUCCAUGUGCUGGGCUAUGGGAGGCAUGAGGCUCAGCCUAAUGUGUAUCUGUCCAGGUGAGCCACCAGCCAUCCGUAGUUGUUUGAUGAGUUAUGAAAACACCUGAACCAGGGCGUUUAUGGGUCUUCAUCAAGGUUUAAGGGGUGGUUCUCCCCUUUGCCUUGGGAUCACCUGAAGCAUGUGGGGCUACCCUCUGCAUGUGACUUGGGAUCUGACUGGGCCAAAGAGUUUAAGAUGCUUGAGGAAUGAGGGGAGGGUUUGUUUUUUUAAUCUCUGCACAAUCUCCUCAAAUCAGAAUAAACUUCCAUC